CUUCUAUGUCUCUUUCCCUCUCUAUCAAUUUUCAGUUUCCCGUAGACAUAUGGUUCCCCUCUUCCUCUCUAGCAUCCAUAUCUGAAUUUAUACAAUCAUGGACACACUUUAAAGACCCUUUCGAUGCAAUGGCAGACUUCAAGGAAAAGCGAUGGUGCUUCUACUUCAGUGGAUUAGAGUGAAUGGGCAUCUCAGUUGGAGUAGAGAAAUGGGUCUUACUGGAAGGCAAAAUGAAACGACCCGUCAAAAUUGGAUCUUGAACAUCUAUCACUUUUUAGGAGUUUGUGUGAAUUUUGGGUUUUUUUUCCUGGUUUUAUUCUAUGUGGUUUUGUCUGUAUGAUUGGAAAGUUCAAUUUCUGAUGUACUUUCGGGGGGGUUUGACUGUAGCAGCAGGGAAGUGGGGAAGUGGGUGCCUUUCCGGUGGCACCGCCGGCUCAGUAUAACCCAUUAGACGAGCCGAGUCCAUUGGGAUUGAGGCUGAGGAAAAGUCCUUCCCUUUUGGAAUUGAUCCAAAUGAGGCUUUCUCAAGCUAAUUCACCUAAGGGUGCAAGUUCCAGUAAAAAAGAGCUUAAAGGGGCCGCGGCUUCUGGUUCCUCGAAGAAGCUCAAGGCUUCAAAUUUUCCAGCAACUAUUCUGCGAAUUGGGACCUGGGAGUAUAAGUCAAGAUAUGAAGGGGAUUUGGUAGCAAAGUGUUAUUUUGCAAAGCAUAAGCUUGUAUGGGAGGUUCUUGAUGGCGGGCUCAAGAAUAAGAUUGAAAUUCAAUGGUCUGAUAUAAUGGCUUUGAAGGCGAAUUCCUGAUGACGGAUCGGGGACUUUGGAUGUAGUGCUUGCAAGACAACCUCUUUUCUUUAGGGAGACAAAUCCACAGCCCAGGAAGCAUACCCUGUGGCAGGCAACAUCUGAUUUUACUGGGGGUCAGGCCAGCAUACAAAGGCGUCAUUUUCUGCAGUGUCCACAAGGCUUGCUGGGAAAGCAUUUCGAAAAGCUUAUUCAAUGUGAUCCUCGUCUUAACUUCCUGAGUAAACAAGGAGAGAUAACGUUGGAUUCUCCAUAUUUUGAACCCAGAAUCUCUGUGUUUGAUGACCCAAGUGAAAACAAAGCUGCAUUUGAUUUGAACAAUCAUGAGAGUCCCACUUUCUUCAACCUGAGGGAUGCAGCAUCGCCAUCAGGUGGUCAAUCAUCAUCUUCGAGGAAUGAACAAGACACUGUUAGUAGACCUCGAGAAUCUAUUAGACAUGAAACACCAUCACCCAGCUCAGUAAUGGAUACGCAUGUAAUUGAAGAAAUAAAAAAUGGUGGAGGAGAGCAAACAUGACAUGGCUAUGAAGCUCUUACAAGCUACUUCGAUUAUGGACUUCGCCAAUUAAUGCAAACAUGAUACUCAUUGUAUAUCGGCACAGGGUCUAUCUUAGCAUUUGUUAUCCCUAGCAAUUUUGGUUGUACAUAUUAAAGCCCAAUUAGGAUUUGAUUUGAAUAUCUUUGUGCUUUGUACUGUUGAUAGUAUUGGUUGUAAUAUAUUAUUGCUCGUUUUGUAUUUGUAAUGACAAAUUGGUUUGUUAUUUCGUA
Coffea arabica (coffee) is the source of this 1566-nucleotide long non-coding RNA. RefSeq lists it as uncharacterized. NCBI's taxonomy places the organism in Eukaryota, Viridiplantae, Streptophyta, Magnoliopsida, Gentianales, Rubiaceae. The record is from RefSeq and is a predicted model, not a curated record.